RNAcentral lists this ribosomal RNA (429 nucleotides) under Actinomycetes bacterium. Its description in RNAcentral is "Actinobacteria bacterium partial 16S ribosomal RNA". It matches the Rfam family "Bacterial small subunit ribosomal RNA", at positions 355 to 776 of the family's 1533-position model. The record is from RNAcentral. Lineage: Bacteria; Bacillati; Actinomycetota; Actinomycetes.
AAGGGAAACUUCGGUAAUGGGCGAAAGCCUGACGGAGCAACGAUGCGUGAGGGAUGAAGGUAUUCGGAUCGUAAAACACUGUUAAUAGGGAAGAACAAAUGUGUAAGUAACUAUGCACGUCUUGACGGUACCUAAUCAGAAAGCCACGGCGAACUACGUGCUAGCAGCCGCGGUAAUACGUAGGUGGCAAGCGUUAUCCGGAAUUAUUGGGCGUAAAGCGCGCGUAGGCGGUUUUUUAAGUCUGAUGUGAAAGCCCACGGCUCAACCGUGGAGUGUCCUUUGCAACUGGAAAACUUGCGUGCAGACGAGUAAAGUGGAAUUCCAUGUGUCGCUGUCAAAUGCACAGAGAUAUGGGGGAACACCAGUAUCGAAUGCGACUUUCUGGUCUUUAACUGACGCUACUGUGCUAAAGCGUGGGGAUCAAACAGC